AAGUCGUAACAAGGUUUCCGUAGGUGAACCUGCGGAAGGAUCAUUGCCGAUCGGACGCCACGCUGAGCUUUCGCGAGCUCUUCGUGGUGUCUUUUUCGACCAACCCAUGUGAACUCGUUUUAUGUGUUUAACAAAGCCCUCACGCACAUUCGUGUGUGUGUGCGGCUUUGUCCAAACAUUUUAUAACAAACCACAUCAUAUUGAACUCUUGACUGAGACAAUACAGGUCACGCCUAAAAACGUUGAUCUCAAAAACCUAACCAUUACAACUUUUAACAACGGAUAUCUUGGCUCGC
RNAcentral lists this unclassified non-coding RNA (296 nucleotides) under fungal sp. RNAcentral describes it as "partial internal transcribed spacer region". The stretch from base 1 to 46 matches the Rfam family "Eukaryotic small subunit ribosomal RNA", at positions 1786 to 1831 of the family's 1831-position model. The record is from RNAcentral. Lineage: Eukaryota; Fungi.